CGGGUCUAGACUCCACGAGACUAUGGUCUACGACCAACCGCCAUGCAGUAAGGUAACGCCUCAUGCUUGGGUAUCGAAGAUUAGGUUCGCUACCUAACACCCACUGCUUAAACGCAGUUCCCCUCAUCAAACAAUUUUCCGACCAUACGAAGGUCUAUAACCAGGAGUUGGGGACUCCUUGGAGGGCCUAGCAGGGGCCCACCCGAAAGGGCACAAGCGUUUGCUCUGACCAAUUCUAGAUAGACGACGCACUUGCACUAAUUAUGCUAGCAAUACGGCACAAAGCCACGCUUUGGUAUCAACCCUGCUGAAAACCCUCAUUGACUAGGGACUUCGGGGACUUGUAAAUACAGCCCAGCAUAAUUAGCAACAGUUCUGCUCAUGCCACACAGCAUCACCUUCGAGCUACCCAUUAAUGCCUCAGCGGCAUCCUUGAGCUUUCACGCUCCUGCCUCAGCGGCAUCUCUGAGCUUUAACGCUUUCGCCUCAGUGGCACCACCGAGCUUUCACUCACGCCUCCGCCGCAACCCCUAGCUUAAACUCACGCCUUUGCGGCAACCCCG
RNAcentral lists this long non-coding RNA (563 nucleotides) under Rosa chinensis. RNAcentral describes it as "sRNA RchiOBHm_Chr7g0216161". The record is from RNAcentral. Lineage: Eukaryota; Viridiplantae; Streptophyta; Magnoliopsida; Rosales; Rosaceae.